GAUGAACGCUGGCGGCGUGCCUAAUACAUGCAAGUCGAGCGGUAACACUUCGGGUGACGAGCGGCGGACGGCUGAGUAACGCGUGGGAAUGUACCCCAAAGUGAGGGAUAACUGCUCGAAAGAGUAGCUAAUAUCGCAUGUGGCCUACGGAUUAAAGCUUCGGCGCUUUGGGAACAGCCUGCGUAAGAUUAGCUUGUUGGUGAGGUAACGGCUCACCAAGGCGACGAUCUUUAGCUGGUCUGAGAGGAUGAUCAGCCAGACUGGGACUGAGAACGGCCCAGACUCCUACGGGAGGCAGCAGUAGGGAAUUUUCCACAAUGGACGAAAGUCUGAUAGAUCAACGCCGCGUGCAGGAUGAAUGCCUUCGGGUUGUAAACUGCUUUUAUAUGUGACGAUUAUGACGGUAGCAUAUGAAUAAGGAUCGGCUAAUUCCGUGCCAGCAGCCGCAGUAA
Molecule: ribosomal RNA, 452 nt
Filed under: uncultured bacterium
Lineage: Bacteria
Description: partial 16S ribosomal RNA
Rfam family: Bacterial small subunit ribosomal RNA
Source: RNAcentral